Molecule: transfer RNA, 70 nt
Filed under: Aquabacterium commune
Lineage: Bacteria; Pseudomonadati; Pseudomonadota; Betaproteobacteria; Burkholderiales; Sphaerotilaceae
Description: tRNA-Lys
Source: RNAcentral
AGGCGCUGGCCGGCUAGGGGUGGACGGACUCUUAAUCCGUUGGUCGAGUGUUCGAGUCACUCAGGGCCCA